GCACCCAUAGCUCAGUGGAUUAGAGCGUCGGUCUUCGGAAACGCAGGUCGGGGGUUGGAAUCUCUCUGGGUGAGCCU
RNAcentral lists this transfer RNA (77 nucleotides) under Ktedonobacter sp. Its description in RNAcentral is "tRNA-Arg". It matches the Rfam family "tRNA". Rfam says of the family: Transfer RNA (tRNA) molecules are approximately 80 nucleotides in length. Lineage: Bacteria; Bacillati; Chloroflexota; Ktedonobacteria; Ktedonobacterales; Ktedonobacteraceae. The record is from RNAcentral.